RNAcentral lists this ribosomal RNA (435 nucleotides) under uncultured bacterium. RNAcentral describes it as "bacterial SSU rRNA". It matches the Rfam family "Bacterial small subunit ribosomal RNA", at positions 958 to 1393 of the family's 1533-position model. The record is from RNAcentral.
AACGCGAAGAACCUUACCAAGGCUUGACAUCCCUCUGACCGGUUUAGAGAUAGACCUUUCCCUUCGGGGACAGAGGUGACAGGUGGUGCAUGGUUGUCGUCAGCUCGUGUCGUGAGAUGUUGGGUUAAGUCCCGCAACGAGCGCAACCCUUAUCUUUAGUUGCCAGCAUUUAGUUGGGCACUCUAGAGAGACUGCCGGUGACAAACCGGAGGAAGGUGGGGAUGACGUCAAAUCAUCAUGCCCCUUAUGUCUUGGGCUACACACGUGCUACAAUGGGUGAUACAAAGGGCUGCGAGACCGCGAGGUUAAGCCAAUCCCAAAAAGUCACUCUCAGUUCGGAUUGUAGGCUGCAACUCGCCUACAUGAAGUCGGAAUCGCUAGUAAUCGCAGAUCAGCAUGCUGCGGUGAAUACGUUCCCGGGUCUUGUACACACGC